GGUCAGGUCUGUGGGUCUUGCCACCCCACUGGGGCAGGAGACUUGGCAGGAAGACUAUCCCUCCAGUGCCUGUGUUUGUUUUUUCCUAGCACACUGAUGCUGGCAGGGAUCUCAGCCAAGAAUGAGGCCAUCUACCAAUGUGUGGCAGAGAACAGUGCAGGCUCCAACCAGGCUAGUGCCCGCCUGGCUGUGACAGGAGACCUUGAGCCACCCCCUGCCUCCAAGGGUCUGCAGGCAGUGGCUCUCUCCCCUUCUGCCAUCCAAGUGUCCUGAGAACAUCAUCAGCUAUGUGCUGCACCUCCAGCCUGUGGGAGACAGGGUCCCAUGAGUGCCGGGCAGUGCCUCAGACUGUCUUGGACAGAGCAAGGGACCACAGAGGCCAGGCUCCAAGUGGACGGAAGCUGGGGGAGAAGACUGAACUCAUCACCCAGGUGAGGGGGAUUAAAGGGAGGGGAAAGUGGUGUGCUUGAGGCCCUGGGUCUGGGUCUGACCAUCUCCUUCCCGCUCAGGUGAUCAGCCUAAGGGCUCCCUCCCAGAUGCCACUAACUCCAGCCCUACCAAAGAAUGUACCUCACCUUUGAGUCAGAAAAGGUCCCUCAGCCCUUCUCUGGGGAGGUGCAGGACCGACCACAGGGAGAGAGAAGAGGGUGUGAUUUCUCUAUUUCUCUCUUCUCCUCAAGAAAUGGGGGGUAUCUGUGUCUUCCCCAACACACCAAAUAACCUCAAACUAAACCAGGCUCAGGUGGGAGUCCUCCCCAACUCGUUAGUCCUGCCUCCUGACCCCACUGAAUCUAUCCUCUUGAUCUAAAUAUGAACUAACCAAAGAUACCUAGCUAUAAGGGUUCCUCCCAAGAGGGGAGGCAGGGCAAGGGACUCUGUCAGUACCUCCAUGGACCAACUCCAGCCGCUAGCCUUGCUCAUGCCCAAGCUGGGGUCUGACCCCAGGAAAGGCACCCUGCAUUCCUGGUGGACUGAAUGGGCAGGUAGACAAAGGGGCUGCUCAGUAUCUUGCCCCCCUUGUCCCAACACCAGAAGAG
RNAcentral lists this long non-coding RNA (1037 nucleotides) under Sus scrofa (pig). RNAcentral's name for it is "lncRNA (ENSSSCG00065074315.1)". The record is from RNAcentral. Lineage: Eukaryota; Metazoa; Chordata; Mammalia; Artiodactyla; Suidae.